This 497-nucleotide ribosomal RNA is filed under the name uncultured bacterium. RNAcentral's name for it is "partial 16S ribosomal RNA". It matches the Rfam family "Bacterial small subunit ribosomal RNA", at positions 28 to 507 of the family's 1533-position model. The record is from RNAcentral.
GAUGAACGCUGGCGGCGUGCCUAAUACAUGCAAGUCGAGCGAACAGACGAGGAGCUUGUUCCUCUGACGUUAGCGGCGGACGGGUGAGUAACACGUGGAUAACCUACCUAUAAGACUGGGAUAACUUCGGGAAACCGGAGCUAAUACCGGAUAAUAUAUUGAACCGCAUGGGUCAAUAGUGAAAGACGGUUUUGCUGUCACUUAUAGAUGGAUCCGCGCCGCAUUAGCUAGUUGGUAAGGUAACGGCUUACCAAGGCAACGAUGCGUAGCCGACCUGAGAGGGUGAUCGGCCACACUGGAACUGAGACACGGUCCAGACUCCUACGGGAGGCAGCAGUAGGGAAUCUUCCGCAAUGGGCGAAAGCCUGACGGAGCAACGCCGCGUGAGUGAUGAAGGUCUUCGGAUCGUAAAACUCUGUUAUUAGGGAAGAACAAAUGUGUAAGUAACUAUGCACGUCUUGACGGUACCUAAUCAGAAAGCCACGGCUAACUACGUG